Molecule: small RNA, 136 nt
Filed under: Vibrio genomosp. F6 str. FF-238
Lineage: Bacteria; Pseudomonadati; Pseudomonadota; Gammaproteobacteria; Vibrionales; Vibrionaceae
Source: RNAcentral
UUAUAAAAAAAGACCCAAAACUGAUCCCGUUUUGGGUCUAGGGGAAGCAGCUCAUGUUGAUCGAGCCUGCGUUAAUUAUGUCUUUAAAGCAUGUUACUUAUGUCUUUAAAGCAUGUUACUUGUGACAAUUUACUUU